Molecule: transfer RNA, 88 nt
Filed under: Aromatoleum tolulyticum
Lineage: Bacteria; Pseudomonadati; Pseudomonadota; Betaproteobacteria; Rhodocyclales; Rhodocyclaceae
Description: Azoarcus tolulyticus tRNA
Rfam family: tRNA
About the family: Transfer RNA (tRNA) molecules are approximately 80 nucleotides in length.
Source: Rfam by way of RNAcentral
GGAGAGAUGGAUGAGUGGUUUAAGUCGCACGCCUGGAAAGCGUGUUUGGGAUAACAUCCCAACGCGGGUUCGAAUCCCGCUCUCUCCG